Molecule: transfer RNA, 82 nt
Filed under: Methanosarcina mazei
Lineage: Archaea; Methanobacteriati; Methanobacteriota; Methanomicrobia; Methanosarcinales; Methanosarcinaceae
Also listed under: 1 other name
Description: tRNA-Ser
Rfam family: tRNA
About the family: Transfer RNA (tRNA) molecules are approximately 80 nucleotides in length. Their secondary structure includes four short double-helical elements and three loops (D, anti-codon, and T loops).
Source: RNAcentral
UGCCCAGGUCGUCUAGCGGUAUGGCGACGGUCUCGAAAACCGUUCCCCUUGGGAUCGCAGGUUCGAAUCCUGCCCUGGGCGU